UGAAGGCGGCCGGGCCCCAGUUUGUGAUUAAGUGAGGAUUCUUGGAGCCUGGAAGACAGAGUGCAAUGCUUGAAACAGGCAUUUCUGACAGAGACAUUGCUCACCCACCAUCAGGGGGACAGGACGAGCGUCACCACAAGAUGCUUUGAAUUUUCCUAAAGAAACUUAUCUGAUGCUUCAGAGGAAACACAAAGCAAGCACCCUUCUUUUGUAAGAUGCUAGCCUGGUGAAAUUGCUUCCAUGGACCUUCAGUUCCCACAGGACACAUGGGACCUUCCCUGCAACAGCUUCCAAACCAUGAUGGAUGAAGCGUGAGAAAGCAAGAAGUUUCAAAAAGUAUUCAUGUAAGAUAAAAGGCAAACAAAUUAGAAAAAA
Calidris pugnax (ruff) is the source of this 375-nucleotide long non-coding RNA. RefSeq lists it as uncharacterized. The record is from RefSeq and is a predicted model, not a curated record. Lineage: Eukaryota; Metazoa; Chordata; Aves; Charadriiformes; Scolopacidae. The transcript has 3 exons.